UACGAGGAGAGCAAGCGUUAUCCGGAUUUAUUGGGCGUAAAGCGUGCGCAAGCGGUUUUAUAAGUGAGAUGUUAAAUACCAAGGCUCAACCUUGGAAUCGCACCUCAUACUGUAAGACUAGAGUCAAUGAGAGGCAAACGGAAUUGCUGGUGUAGUAGUGAAAUGCGUUGAUAUCAGCAGGAACACCAAAAGCGAAAGCAGUUUGCUGGCAUUGUACUGACGCCGUUGCACGACAGCGUGGGGAGCAAAC
Molecule: ribosomal RNA, 250 nt
Filed under: uncultured bacterium
Lineage: Bacteria
Description: partial 16S ribosomal RNA
Rfam family: Bacterial small subunit ribosomal RNA
Source: RNAcentral